GCGCUGGAUCUUGUGUGCUUUAUAUAUAUAUAUAUAUAUAUAUAUAUAUGUGUAUAUAUAUAUAUACAUAUAUAUAUAUAUAAAGCACACAAGAUCCAGCGC
Molecule: non-coding RNA, 102 nt
Organism: Pelobates cultripes (western spadefoot toad)
Lineage: Eukaryota; Metazoa; Chordata; Amphibia; Anura; Pelobatidae
Source: the annotation of a GenBank genome assembly